AAGUCGUAACAAGGUUUCCGUAGGUGAACCUGCGGAAGGAUCAUUAAUAAUUUUUUCAUCUUUGAUGAAAUAAAUUAAACCUUGUGUGCAAACAUUGUAUUGAAGGAAGAAAAUGAAGAGAAAAAACGAUGAAGCUCUGCAAAAGGAGUGGAUCCUAUUUUCCUCUUUACAUUUUCAACCUAAAACAAAAAACACAUCAUCAAAAUUAUAUAAAACAAAAAAUAUAUUAUAAUAAAAUACAACUUUCAACAACGGAUCUCUUGGCUCUCGCAUCGAUGAAGAACGCAGCGAAAUGCGAUACGUAAUGUGAAUUGCAGAAUUCAGUGAAUCAUCGAAUCUUUGAACGCAUAUUGCACUCUCUAGUAUUCUGGAGAGUACACCUGUUUCAGCAUCAUGAAUACCUUCAAAUUCUUGCUUUUUUUGGGCAGAAAUUUGGAUUUGGGCUUUGCCGUUUAUAUAUUCUCGGCUUGCCUUAAACGAUGCUAAAACCACACCGCAUGGAAAAAAGGCGGACGAUAAAGCGUAAUAUUUUGAACUUUCGGGUCCAGUCUUUUCGCUAAAUCCCCUCUGUCUAUCUCUAGCUUGUGGAAUACCAAAAAUUAUGGAAGAUCUUAAUAAUGUUUAUCAUUAUUAAACUUUUUUAACUAUGUCUGAAGUCAGGUGGGAUUACCCGCUGAACUUAAGCAUAUCAAUAAGCGGAGGAAAAGAAACUAACAAGGAUUCCCUAGUAACGGCGAGUGAAGCGGGAAAAGCUCAAAUUUAAAUCUGCAGGUUCCCUGUCCGAGUUGUAGUUUCAAGAAACGUUUUCGGUGCGCCCCUGGGUAUAAGUCCUUUGGAACAGGGCAUCAUAGAGGGUGAGAAUCCCGUAUAUGACCCGGAGCCGCGUACUAUGUGUCACGUUUUCUAAGAGUCAGGUUGUUUGGGAAUGCAGCCUAAAAUGGGUGGUAAAUUUCAUCUAAAGCUAAAUAUUUGCGAGAGACCGAUAGCGAACAAGUACCGUGAGGGAAAGAUGAAAAGAACUUUGAAAAGAGAGUUAAACAGUACGUGAAAUUGUUGAAAGGGAAACGUUUGAAAUCAGUCAUGCGGGCGGGUAAUCAGCUUGGCCUUCGGGUCUUGUGCACUUUCCCGUCUUCGCAGGUCAGCGUCGGUUUUCUUGCUGUCGGAUAAAAGCCAAGGGAAUGUAGCUCCACCCUUCACGGGGAGGGGUGUUAUAGCCCUGGUUAAUACAACGGUGGAGACCGAGGUCUGCAGUCGAUGCUUUCUCUUUUGGAGGCUGGGAAAUCUAUCGCUCAUUCGCACCCGCGCCUAGACAGCUUGCUGACUAGGUGUGUGGUCGGGGGUGACACGGUGGCCUACCACACAUUUCGACUUAGGUCGCUGACUUAAUGGUUUUAAAUGAC
RNAcentral lists this ribosomal RNA (1400 nucleotides) under uncultured fungus. RNAcentral describes it as "eukaryotic LSU rRNA". The stretch from base 647 to 1400 matches the Rfam family "Eukaryotic large subunit ribosomal RNA", at positions 1 to 648 of the family's 3401-position model. The record is from RNAcentral. Lineage: Eukaryota; Fungi.